UACGAGGGGUGCAAACGUUAUUCGGAUUUACUGGGUGUAAAGGGUGUGUAGACGGUCUGUUAAGUUCGUUGUUAAAUUUUCCGGCCUAACUGGAAGCUUGCGAUGAAAACUGGCGGACUAGAGGGUGAAAGAGAGAAGUGGAAUUCUCGGAGUAGCGGUAAAAUGCGUAGAUCUCGAGAGGAACACCGAUGGCGAAAGCAGCUUCUUGGUUCACAUCUGACGUUGAAACACGAAAGCGUGGGGAGCAAACAGG
RNAcentral lists this ribosomal RNA (253 nucleotides) under uncultured bacterium. RNAcentral describes it as "partial 16S ribosomal RNA". It matches the Rfam family "Bacterial small subunit ribosomal RNA", at positions 524 to 776 of the family's 1533-position model. The record is from RNAcentral.